UACAGAGGGUGCGAGCGUUGUCCGGAAUCACUGGGCGUAAAGGGCGCGUAGGCGGCCGAUCAAGUCGGGGGUGAAAGCCUGUGGCUCAACCACAGAAUUGCCUUCGAUACUGUUUGGCUUGAGACCGGAAGGGGUAAGUGGAACUGCGAGUGUAGAGGUGAAAUUCGUAGAUAUUCGCAAGAACACCAGUGGCGAAGGCGGCUUACUGGUCCGGUUCUGACGCUGAGGCGCGAAAGCGUGGGGAGCAAACAGG
This 253-nucleotide ribosomal RNA is filed under the name uncultured bacterium. Its description in RNAcentral is "partial 16S ribosomal RNA". It matches the Rfam family "Bacterial small subunit ribosomal RNA", at positions 524 to 776 of the family's 1533-position model. The record is from RNAcentral.